RNAcentral lists this ribosomal RNA (261 nucleotides) under uncultured prokaryote. RNAcentral's name for it is "partial 16S ribosomal RNA". It matches the Rfam family "Bacterial small subunit ribosomal RNA", at positions 524 to 784 of the family's 1533-position model. The record is from RNAcentral.
UACGGAGGAUCCGAGCGUUAUCCGGAUUUAUUGGGUUUAAAGGGUGCGUAGGUGGAUUGGUAAGUCAGUGGUGAAAGUUUGCAGCUUAACUGUAGAAUUGCCGUUGAAACUGCCGGUCUUGAGUGCAAAUGAGGUAGGCGGAAUGCGUCGUGUAGCGGUGAAAUGCUUAGAUAUGACGCAGAACUCCGAUUGCGAAGGCAGCUUACUGGGAUGCAACUGACGCUGAGGCACGAAAGCGUGGGUAUCAAACAGGAUUAGAUA